CAAAUAUAGUGACAUUCAACCCACAUUACUGACAUUGUUUACAAUUGUCGCAAAUGAAAACAAUUACUGGGUAUUGUUAUAACUGAAGGAAAUGGCAUCUACCAGCUAGACAGGGCACAACAGAUCACCAUCUUCAGACUGAGAACCGGACAUUGUCAGUUCCUCUCGCAUCUCUUCAGGCUGAAAAUCUCUCACAGACGCCAGCUCACAUUCUCCAAUCCUGUCCCACCUUUGACACCCUGCGACAGCAAACUUGGCCCAGUGCCAUGGACCGGAGGGAGAAGCUGUGGGAACCAGUGACAUCGCUAAGGCAGAUGGCGGACUUCGUCCACAAUACUGGACUACCCAUCCAACAUGGCCGGGAUCGCUGAAGAAGAAUGAAGAAGUUAUAAUUAAACUGAAUGCUGGUGAUGAUUAUGGAUGAAACCAGGUAUCCAAGACUCUCAAAGAUGUACCUGAAACACAGACAAAAAUAAAUAAAAUACCAGUAUGUAUAUUUUUAGGAUGAGGGUGGGGGGAGUGCCAUAUGUCAGAGAUUUGAUUAAUGGAAAUAUUUAUGUAAUAAAUUAUAAACGAUA
This is a long non-coding RNA of Gigantopelta aegis, 578 nucleotides long. RefSeq lists it as uncharacterized. The record is from RefSeq and is a predicted model, not a curated record. The transcript has 3 exons. NCBI's taxonomy places the organism in Eukaryota, Metazoa, Mollusca, Gastropoda, Neomphalida, Peltospiridae.